Long non-coding RNA from Amphiprion ocellaris (clown anemonefish), 465 nucleotides. NCBI's taxonomy places the organism in Eukaryota, Metazoa, Chordata, Actinopteri, Pomacentridae. The record is from Ensembl.
ACCACGUGAACGUGUUGAUUCCUCAAACAAGUUCUGUUUUUACCAACUUUUAAUUACAUACUAGCACUUGGAUUUAUUUUUUAUUGAUGGUAUUCUGCAUUCACGAGGCAAAGCUGGACUUGUAAAGGUUUGAAAGACAAGAUUUGGUGUGCCACGUCUGGUGAUCUGAUAUGGCACAGACUCCAUGGUCACGUGACUGAAGAGGUAAUGAGGUCCUGUCAACUGGCAUUACUGGAAGUUGCUGUCCCUAGAAAGUUGACCACAACUAAUGAGUACUUUGAUAGAUGAAAAAUCUGUUAAAUACUGAAACAAAUACCUAACCAUCCAGAUUGUGAUUAUUUAGCUGUCAGCUUUUAAAUUUCGCUCAAAGAUGUUUUAGGCACAAUCAAGAGCCAAGACAAAUAAGAUGUUCAUUGACUUUUUGGGGGGAUUUAUAUGACUUGAAGCUACAACACUGCAAUUUCC